Molecule: ribosomal RNA, 238 nt
Filed under: uncultured bacterium
Lineage: Bacteria
Description: partial 16S ribosomal RNA
Rfam family: Bacterial small subunit ribosomal RNA
Source: RNAcentral
AGUUUUUAACUCAAGUGGCGGACGGGUGAGUAACACGUAAGAAUUUGCCUUUAGGAGGGGGAUAACAACUGGAAACGGUUGCUAAUACCCCAUAUGCUUUCGAGUAAAAUGGAUUUUUCCGCCUAAAGAAAAGCUUGCGGCUGAUUAGCUUGUUGGUGAGGUAAUGGCUUACCAAGGCGACGAUCAGUAUCUGGUUUGAGAGGACGAUCAGACACACUGGAACUGAGACACGGUCCAG